Parastagonospora nodorum SN15 is the source of this 72-nucleotide non-coding RNA. NCBI's taxonomy places the organism in Eukaryota, Fungi, Ascomycota, Dothideomycetes, Pleosporales, Phaeosphaeriaceae. The record is from the annotation of a RefSeq genome assembly.
GGAGCCUUGGCGCAAUGGUAGCGCGUUGGUUUUCGGCACCAAAGGUUGUGGGUUCGAUCCCCAUGGGCUUCG